GUCCGCGUGGUGUAGUGGUUUGAGCAUUCGACUAUAACUCUGGAGACCAGGGUUCGAAUUCCUACUUGGCCA
Phrynosoma platyrhinos (Desert horned lizard) is the source of this 72-nucleotide non-coding RNA. Lineage: Eukaryota; Metazoa; Chordata; Lepidosauria; Squamata; Phrynosomatidae. The record is from the annotation of a GenBank genome assembly.